ACAAUGGAGAGUUUGAUCCUGGCUCAGGACGAACGCUGGCGGCGGGCUUAACACAUGCAAGUCGAAGGAGAAGGAAGGAGCUUGCUCUUUCUGGAGACUGGCGGACGGGUGAGUAACGCGUAGCCAACCUGCCUUUAGCUGGGGGAUAACAUUCCGAAAGGGGUGCUAAUACCGCAUAAUGCAGCGGGGCCGCAUGGCCACAGUUGUUAAAGGUUUCGACCGGCUAAAGAGGGGGCUGCGUGCUAUUAGUUAGUUGGUGAGGUAACGGCUCACCAAGGCGAUGAUAGCUAGGGGGUCUGAG
This 301-nucleotide ribosomal RNA is filed under the name Balneola sp. RNAcentral's name for it is "partial 16S ribosomal RNA". It matches the Rfam family "Bacterial small subunit ribosomal RNA", at positions 1 to 296 of the family's 1533-position model. The record is from RNAcentral. Lineage: Bacteria; Pseudomonadati; Balneolota; Balneolia; Balneolales; Balneolaceae.